GCAGAUAGAGACUACUCUCAUAAAGAGGCUUGGCCCAUCUGAUCUCGGAAGCUAAGCAGGGUUGGGCCCGGUUAGUACUUGAAUGGGAGACCACCUAGGAAGACCAGGUGCUGUAGGCA
This 119-nucleotide ribosomal RNA is filed under the name Pteropus alecto (black flying fox). The record is from RNAcentral. Lineage: Eukaryota; Metazoa; Chordata; Mammalia; Chiroptera; Pteropodidae. RNAcentral also lists the same sequence under 1 other name.